UACGGUCAUAUCACGUUGAAGCACUGGUUCUCGUACGACCAUCGAAGUUAAGUAACGUCGAAUCUGGUCAGUUCCUAGAUGGGUGACCGCUUAGGAAUACCAGGU
This is a non-coding RNA of Acanthosepion pharaonis, 105 nucleotides long. The record is from the annotation of a GenBank genome assembly. Lineage: Eukaryota; Metazoa; Mollusca; Cephalopoda; Sepiida; Sepiidae.